UACGUAGGGGGCUAGCGUUAUCCGGAAUUACUGGGCGUAAAGGGUGCGUAGGUGGUUUCUUAAGUCAGAGGUGAAAGGCUACGGCUCAACCGUAGUAAGCCUUUGAAACUGGGAAACUUGAGUGCAGGAGAUGAGAGUGGAAUUCCUAGUGUAGCGGUGAAGUGCGUAGAUAUUAGGAGGAACACCAGUUGCGAAGGCGGCUCUCUGGACUGUAACUGACACUGAGGCACGAAAGCGUGGGGAGCAAACAGGAUUAGAUACCCUGGUAGUCCCUGA
This 276-nucleotide ribosomal RNA is filed under the name uncultured prokaryote. Its description in RNAcentral is "partial 16S ribosomal RNA". It matches the Rfam family "Bacterial small subunit ribosomal RNA", at positions 524 to 800 of the family's 1533-position model. The record is from RNAcentral.